RNAcentral lists this ribosomal RNA (253 nucleotides) under uncultured bacterium. RNAcentral's name for it is "partial 16S ribosomal RNA". It matches the Rfam family "Bacterial small subunit ribosomal RNA", at positions 524 to 776 of the family's 1533-position model. The record is from RNAcentral.
GACAGAGGUGCCAAGCGUUAGGCGGAAUCACUGGGCUUAAAGCGUGUGUAGGCGGACUUCUAAGUGCCUUGUGAAAUCCCACGGCUCAACCGUGGAACUGCUGGGCAUACUGGGAGUCUUGAGCAACCUAGGGGCGAGCGGAACAAAUGGUGGAGCGGUGAAAUGCGUAGAUAUCAUUUGGAACGCCAAUGGUGAAAACAGCUCGCUGGGGGUUUGCUGACGCUGAGACACGAAAGCCAGGGGAGCAAACGGG